Xyrichtys novacula (pearly razorfish) is the source of this 3674-nucleotide non-coding RNA. Lineage: Eukaryota; Metazoa; Chordata; Actinopteri; Labriformes; Labridae. The record is from the annotation of a GenBank genome assembly.
GAUUGAAGAUACAUCAUGAGAUGCAACUGGGACACAUCAUCAGUGAUGUUCCUGAGUUCAUCGGACGUUUCGGGUCUUUCAACAUCAUACGUCCUCCCUCAGGUGACCCAGCCUAGGGUUGAUCAGACCCUGGCUUGUGUCCCAGUAGCAAUGGCCCACAGUUCGCUCCUCCUGAUCCACAGCCACCUGGAGGCUCUCUCUGCCGCCUCCAUGGUGGACUUGAUGGCUGACCUUUUUGCAGCCCCGGUGAUGCCAAGUAGCGAAUAAACCUUGCACAGUGAGCGGCCAGCAAAGCCCCUGCACCCCACUUCAAUGGGUUCACACCGUGCCUUCCACCCUCCUCUUUGGCAUUGCUCGACCAGCUCCUGGUACUUUGACCGCUUCCGCUCGUUUGCCUCCUCUAUGCGAUCCUCCCAGGGAACUGUCAGCUCUAACAGGAGCACCUGCUUUGAAGAGACUGAUGAUAGCACGAUGUCUGGCCUCAGGGAAGUUGUUGUGAUCUGGUCUGGAAACUUGAGCUGCUUGCCAAGGUCAACUCUGAGAUCCCAGUCCACCGCUGAGGUGAGGAGGCCAGCUGCUGGUUUGGGCUGUGACUGUGGCUGCUCUCCAGCCCUAACAAAGGCGAUGUUCCUGUUGCCAGGUUGUUGCUUGCGGCUGUUGUUUUUGGCCACAGCUUUGGAGAUAGUUACAGCAACAGACUUCAGCACCUGGUCGUGCCGCCAGCGGUAACGACCCUCCCCAAGGGCUAUCGAACAGCUGCUUAGGAUGUGCUCCAGAGAGCCUUUCCUGGAGCACAGGGCACAGGCUGGAGAGUCGCCCAGACCCCAGAGAUGGAGAUUGGCUGGGCUGGGCAGGACAUCGUAGACAGCACGAACCAUGAACCCUAUGCGCUGCGGUUCUGCCUGCCAGAUCUCAGACCAGGUCACCUUCCUCUCCAGCGCACCCUCCCACCUUGUCCAUGCUCCCUGCUGCUGCAUGCCCACCAUCCUGCUGGUCCGUUCCUCCUCGACCCCUAUCCGCACCUCCCUCAGGACUAGCUGUCGUUUGUCCAUGCCAUGUGCCUUCUCGUAGCGCGGUUGAGGGAACACUCCCAGCCCAGCUCGACCCGUUGCCACCGAGCCCACCAGAGCCCUGUGUCUCAGCCGAGACUCGGCUACCUCCAGACCAUCUUGAGCCCUCCACUUCCUGCCGGUUCGCACCACGAUGCCAGCUGAUGCUACCUUGGUGUCCUUGGAGUCCCGAUAGAGCAAAGCCUCUCUUGUGCGAGAGACCCUGAACUCCUCCUCAAGGCUACUGAAAGGGAGCUGGAGUUUGUUGGUCUUUCCAUACAGUGCUGCACUGGAUAGGCUGCGUGGGAAGCCCAUCCAUCUACGGAGGUAUCCGCUGAUCUUCCUCUCCAGAGUCUCUACAGUCGACAGGGGCACCUCGUACACCAACAGAGGCCAGAGUACUCGGGGUAAGACGCCAUGCUGGUAAAUCCACGCCUUAAACCUGCCGGGUAAGCCAGACUUGUCUACUGCCGAUAGCCACGUCUCAAGCUCCUUGAUGGUGAUCUGGAUUGAUGCAGAAUCCCUGAGACUACAGUCAAAAAUCUUGCCCAGGCUCUUGACUGGUUUCUCGGUGAUAGAUGGGAUUGCCGUGCCAUCCACGAGGAAGCGAAACUUGUCUGCCACUUUUCCCUUCUUCAACACCAUCGACCUGGAUUUAGUUGGUUUGAAGCUCAUUCUUGCCCAGGAUAUGAGCUUUUCCAGGCCCUGGAGUAUCCAUCUUCCACCAGGCACAGAUGUUGUGGUGACGGUGAGAUCGUCCAUAAAGGCUCUGAUGGGUGGUUGUCGAAUGCCAGACUUGGACAGAGGACCUCUGCACUCCCUUUCAGCUGCCUUGACUACCAUAUUCAUGGCCAGGGCAAAGAGGCCAACCGAGAUGGUGCACCCAGUUAUAAUGCCCUUUUCGAGCCUGUGCCAGUCAGAUGUUGUGCUCCCAGAAGUGACUCUGAGCCUGAAGUUCCCGUAGUAAUUCAGGAUGAGGUCCUUGAUCUUCCUGGGUACAUGGUGACGGUCUAGGGUAGUCUCAACGAGCUUGUGGGGUAUGGAGCCGAAGGCAUUGGCCAGGUCCAGCCAGAGCACGACGAGGUCUCCCUUGCCCUCCCGCGCCUCCCUGAUCAGCUGGGUGACAACUCCAGUGUGUUCUAGGCAUCCUGGCACACCGGGGAUACCACCUUUCUGGACAGAGGUGUCAAUGUAGGCAUUCUUUAGGAGAAAGUCUGUCAACCUUCUGGAGAGGAUGCUGAAGAAAAUCUUCCCCUCGACGCUGAGAAGCGAGAUGGUUCUGAAUUGCUCCAGCUUGGUGGAAUUCUCUUCCUUGGGUAUCCAGACACCCUCCGCCUGCCUCCACUGAUCCGCCACAGCUCCUCUGCGCCAGAUCACACGCAGGAUCUUCCAGAGGAUUCUAAGGAGCCCAGGGCAGCGCUUGUACACCUUGUAAGGAACGCCACUGGGUCCUGGAGCUGAUCUGGCUCUGGCAGCAGCGACCACCUCCUGGAUUUCCUUCCAGGUGGGCUCGCAGGUUUUGAAGUCGACAGUGGGAGAUGGUAUGUCCAAUAAGGCACUGAGGGGCCCUAGGGCUUGCUCUCUGUCAGGGUCGCUCAGGUUGCUUUCCAGGUAGUGGUCUACCUCCUCCUUGGAGCAGGCUAGACGCCCACUGCGCUUCUGCCCCAAAAGCUGUUUGGUGAAUCCAAAUGGAUCCGCUAUGAAAGCAGUUCGCUUCCUGGCUCUCUCUCUCCUGCGUCUCCUGUGCCAUUCAGCUCUGCGCAGGGUUGUGAGUUUCUUCCUGAUGGUGUUUCUGAGCUCUGCCAGUGGUGGUUUCUCCUCCUCAGUUGCUGCCUUGUACUGUCUUGCCAGGGACCGGAGCUCCUGCCGCAGUUGAUGGAUCAUUUCUGCUCUACGGUUCAAGGUGUAGUUGGGUCUGGUGGAUUUGCACUCUUCCACACCGUACCUCUCCGUUCCAUAGGUGACAAUGAUGGUGGUCAUGGUCUGAAGCCGUCUGUCAACAUCCCCCUUUGCUGUUGAUUCGAUGAUUGUGGUGACAUCCUCAUCGAACUGGUGCCACACUUUGUGUUGGUUUGCUGGAGGCCACUUGAUACGACGCUGUUGAACUACUCUGCUAUGAGCUGGAGAGCUAGGCACUUGGAGGUUCUGGGCUCUGUGGGGUGUCUCCCGGCCGGGCUCCUCCGUCGUCUCACCAGGACUACGUCCUGUGCGCUGUGUUGCACUCUCCUGGACCAAGCAUUUCAUUCGGCCUUGAUGGAUUUUUAGGCCGAGCGCGUUCUUGCAAACCUUGCCACAUUUGCAUCUUGCGAUUGUCGUCGUCGAUAAGCCGUUUGCCAAAGUCGUCAACGUUGUGUCCGUCCUGUUGGGGAACUCAUCCUCCCCCCCUCUCGGGUUCCCCUGGGGGUAUUUCUCAGUAGGUCGUUCUGUAGCUUGGUAGGGUUCUCCCUCACGGGAGAAACAAGUUGGGAUGCUACCCCUUCCUGCCCCGGUUGCCGUCUUUCCGGGCUGUCAAUUGUCUCUCCAAUCGUCACCAGCCUGUUCCUGGUCGUCGCCCAGCCUGUUCCUGGGUGUCACUGGCUAAGCCAGAUUCGAAUGAUUGAAGAUACAUCAUGAGAUGCAACUGGG